Molecule: ribosomal RNA, 484 nt
Filed under: uncultured bacterium
Lineage: Bacteria
Description: partial 16S ribosomal RNA
Rfam family: Bacterial small subunit ribosomal RNA
Source: RNAcentral
AUUGAACGCUGGCGGCAGGCCUAACACAUGCAAGUCGAGCGGAUGAAGGGAGCUUGCUCCUGGAUUCAGCGGCGGACGGGUGAGUAAUGCCUAGGAAUCUGCCUGGUGGUGGGGGAUAACGUCCGGAAACGGGCGCUAAUACCGCAUACGUCCUGAGGGAGAAAGUGGGGGAUCUUCGGACCUCACGCUAUCAGAUGAGCCUAGGUCGGAUUAGCUAGUUGGUGGGGUAAAGGCCUACCAAGGCGACGAUCCGUAACUGGUCUGAGAGGAUGAUCAGUCACACUGGAACUGAGACACGGUCCAGACUCCUACGGGAGGCAGCAGUGGGGAAUAUUGGACAAUGGGCGAAAGCCUGAUCCAGCCAUGCCGCGUGUGUGAAGAAGGUCUUCGGAUUGUAGAGCACUUUAAGUUGGGAGGAAGGGCAGUAAGUUAAUACCUUGCUGUUUUGACGUUACCAACAGAAUAAGCACCGGCUAACUUCGUG